GCCGUAAAUUAUGCCAACUUGUGCUUCUGCUUCUGCGGAGGCGCAUAGAGAAAUCAAGAGUUUAUGGGCUCUAGGGAUAGUAAUCCGGCAACGGACAAACUUAAAGAAAUUGGCGGAAGGACACCACAAGGAGUGCAAACUAAUGAUAUAUCAUUACAUAGAACAACUAGUAUGUAUUGAAUGAUAUUUUUAUAAAAUAACUAAAAUUAUAA
RNAcentral lists this non-coding RNA (212 nucleotides) under Anncaliia algerae PRA109. Its description in RNAcentral is "Microsporidia small subunit ribosomal RNA". It matches the Rfam family "Microsporidia small subunit ribosomal RNA", at positions 682 to 1133 of the family's 1311-position model. Lineage: Eukaryota; Fungi; Microsporidia; Tubulinosematidae. The record is from Rfam by way of RNAcentral.